CACUUAAAGUAGCUCACAACACCUUGCUCAGCCACACCCCCACGGGAAACAGCAGUGAUAAAAAUUAAGCAAUAGAUGAAAGUCUGACUAAGUUAUAUUACUAAGGACUGGUAAAUCUCGUGCCAGCCACCGCGGUCAUACGAUUAGGCCAAACUAAUAGACAGUCGGCGUAAAGUGUGUUUUAGAGAACAAUCACAUAAUAAAGUCAAAUCUUAACUAGGCUGUAAAAAGCCCUAGCUAUUAUAAGAUAUACAGCGAAAGUGACUUUAGAGCUUCUGACUACACGAUAGCUAAGACCCAAACUGGGAUUAGAUACCCCACUAUGCUUAGCCCUAAACAUAAAAAAUUACUAACAAAAUUAUUCGCCAGAGAACUACCAGCAAAAGCUAGAAACUCAAAGGACUUGGCGGUGCCUUAUAUCCCUCUAGAGGAGCCUGUUCUAUAAUCGAUAAACCCCGAUAUACCUUACCAAUCCUUGCCAAAUCAGCCUAUAUACCGCCAUCUUCAGCAAACCCUAGUAAAGGAACUAUAGUAAGCAUAAAUAUUAACAUAAAAACGUUAGGUCAAGGUGUAGCCUAUGGAUUGGAAAGCAAUGGGCUACAUUUCCCAAAACGGGACAAUUACUACGAAAACUAGUGUGAAACCACUAGCCAAAGGAGGAUUUAGCAGUAAACUAAGAAUAGAGUGCUUAGUUGAAUAAGGCCAUGAGGCACGCACACACCGCCCGUCACCCUCCUCAAGCAAAAACAUUAUCUACUCCAUAAACCCAGA
This 771-nucleotide ribosomal RNA is filed under the name Pipistrellus rusticus (Rusty pipistrelle). Its description in RNAcentral is "partial small subunit ribosomal RNA". It matches the Rfam family "Bacterial small subunit ribosomal RNA", at positions 305 to 1444 of the family's 1533-position model. Lineage: Eukaryota; Metazoa; Chordata; Mammalia; Chiroptera; Vespertilionidae. The record is from RNAcentral.